This is a long non-coding RNA of Amphiprion ocellaris (clown anemonefish), 382 nucleotides long. The record is from Ensembl. Lineage: Eukaryota; Metazoa; Chordata; Actinopteri; Pomacentridae.
GCGCAUGCGCAGUAAGAGACUGAUUUGCUUGGAAAAACCGAGGGAGCCAGAAGGAAAGAAGACAGGAGGAAAGAGGUAGAAAAUGUAUCCAAGUCCAGGUGUGAGGUUCCAGUGCAGCCAAUGCCAGACAGUUUCCCUCCAGGGAGGAGCCAGAAGAAGCUUCUGCAGCGACUGAACAAAUGGCUGGAAGUGCAGCAGGAGAUGUUUGAUGGUGCACCAAGGGAGCUCCAACAGCUAAGUGAUGCAUGUUGGGCCUGUAGGCUCAUAGCAUGUUGCAAUGUUCUGGACAGGUGGCCUGCAAUAGCACAGUAUAGCUUGAAGAGCUGCAUCUGAGAACCAUCCACAAAGAGCUGUUGAAGCAAGAGGGAUAUUGGCUCAGAUU